AGGGAAUCUUCCGCAAUGGACGAAAGUCUGACGGAGCGACGCCGCGUGAGUGAUGAGGGUCUUCGGAUCGUAAAACUCUGUUGUUAGGGAAGAAUAAGUAUAAGGCGAAUAACCUUAUACCUUGACGGUACCUAACCAGAAAGCCCCGGCUAACUACGUGCCAGCAGCCGCGGUAAUACGUAGGGGGCGAGCGUUGUCCGGAAUUAUUGGGCGUAAAGGGUGCGUAGGCGGUCUCUUAAGUCUGAUGUGAAAGCCUACGGCUUAACCGUGGAGGGUCAUUGGAAACUGGGAGACUUGAGUGCAGAAGAGGAGAGUGGAAUUCCAUGUGUAGCGGUGAAAUGCGUAGAGAUAUGGAGGAACACCAGUGGCGAAGGCGACUCUCUGGUCUGUAACUGACGCUGAGGCACGAAAGCGUGGGGAGCAAAC
This 426-nucleotide ribosomal RNA is filed under the name uncultured bacterium. RNAcentral describes it as "bacterial SSU rRNA". It matches the Rfam family "Bacterial small subunit ribosomal RNA", at positions 356 to 773 of the family's 1533-position model. The record is from RNAcentral.